This is a long non-coding RNA of Suricata suricatta (meerkat), 1703 nucleotides long. RefSeq lists it as uncharacterized. Lineage: Eukaryota; Metazoa; Chordata; Mammalia; Carnivora; Herpestidae. The record is from RefSeq and is a predicted model, not a curated record. The transcript has 4 exons.
CCUCCCUCCGGGGGCGGCAGGGCCAGGGCAGAGCCGGGGGCUGCCUCUCCUCUUUUUACCCCUCUCCCCAAUCCUAAAAUGAGCGCUUUUCUGGGCUCCCGGAGCUCCGAGGAAGGCGUAGCUAGAGAUAGCUUGCUCCCUCUCCCUCCCUCCCUCUCUCUCUCUCUCUCUCUCUCUCUCUCUCUCUCUCUCUCUCUCACUCUCUCUCCCCUGCCCUCCCCCCUUGGUGUUUCUUCCAGCUCAGCCUCCUUCUCAUUCCAUCUCUACGUGCCCAGAGCUUCAAAUACAACCCUCCCAUCACAAUCAGAUGGGCACAAAACUUCAACCAGCCGUUUCUCUGCCUGGAAGCGGUGAAAAUAUAGCCUGGAUGGAAGGGAAGGACUCCUACGAGGGGUGAUGGCUGUGGUCCUGGCACUUGGGAGAGGGUCCUGGUAUCCAUAGAGCAGAACCACAAUUUCAGCAACCUCUGCUAAGUGCUUGCUGCAACUUGACGUUUCAUGUGUAUUAUCUGAAGUCUCUCCUCGCCCACUGGCCAUCACCCAGGCUGUCAGAUCUCGUCGGUCUUGUUCAUUCCAGUAUCCCCAGUGCCUAGAAAGUGCCUGAAGUAUGCUGUCUGCUCAGAGGCCCAACUAACCACCCGCUAGAGAGGCCUGCCUGCUCUUCCUCCAACACCACUCCUUUACCUGCUGAAAUGUCCUUCUUAACCCUUAGCAGCAACCCCCACCUCCCACCUUGGAGGAGUGUACUCUGCCAUUUAUUUUCUCCACUUGACUGAGCAGGGAACCACAUCCAAAUAAGGAUCGGGUCUGGCUGUGUUAUUAUUAUCCUCCCUGCCUCUCUCCCAGUGUCCAGCACAUAGUAGGUGCUCAUUAAAAAAUGAGUGUGUGUCCUACUCAAGGAAACCCCCCGAACCAGUAGGGAGAGAGGCGGAAUGUCCAAGAGGAGGCAGGCAAUGGGAAUAUCCCAGGAGAGUUGGCCUGGGACCGUGCACAGGGAAGCCAACAAGGUCUCCAGGGGAAGAUGCUGGAGGUUUCUAGGAGGAGGCCGGUGGGACUUCCAAGCUUCCUGGGCAAAGGAGAACUUGGAGAGGUGACGGGCUGGAAGGACAAGGGAGGGCACUCCUCUCUGUGCAGAUUUCGGGCAGAUCAAGAAAGAGGGGCUUCUGACACUGAGAGUCAGGGCAGCCCAUACGCAGGCAGGUGGGCUGGGGGCCGGGGGCUCAGAUUCAGGCUUCCCAGCAGCGUGGCCUCCAGCAAGCAAUCAAACACUCCCGAAUCUCAGCUGGCCUGUCUGGAAAAUGGGGCAGCAUUGCCGGCCUCGACAUGCUAUCCUGAUAAUUAAAUGAAAUAAAAAAGUACUUCCAGUGACGACUCCACGGUUAAGCCCUAAAUAAAUAUUGGCUACACGUUGAGCUUCUGUUGGGUGUUAUGUGCUUUGAAUAAAACACAAAAAUGAAAAGGAUGUGGUUCCCUGCUCAGUCAAGUGGAGAGAGGAGUGGAAAGAGUGGCACUCAGGGUGGGGUGGAUGGAAGGCGGAGGCGGGCCCGCGGGCACCACCAGGAGGGCAAGGUGGUGCCGCCUGGGCCUUCAGCACCGGCAUCCGGGAGUUGGUGGCCGCUGAGCUGGGUCUUAAAGGAUGAGUGGAAGUGUAGGAGCAAAGCAGGCCAGCGAGGUGUUCUAGGCAAAGGAGCCGGAGGCCCAAAG